GGAAUAUUGCACAAUGGGCGAAAGCCUGAUGCAGCGACGCCGCGGGAGUGAAGAAGUAUUUCGGUAUGUAAAGCUCUAUCAGCAGGGAAGAACAUGACGGUACCUGUCUAAGAAGCCCCGGCGAACUACGUGCCAUCAGCCGCGGUAAUACGGAGGGGGCAAGCGUUAUCCGGAUUUACUGGGUGUAAAGGGAGCGUAGACGGCGAAGCAAGUCUGAAGUGAAAACCCAGGGCUCAACCCUGGGACUGCUUUGGAAACUGUUUUGCUAGAGUGUCGGAGAGGUAAGUGGAAUUCCUAGUGUAGCGGUGAAAUGCGUAGAUAUUAGGAGGAACACCAGUGGCGAAGGCGGCUUACUGGAAGAUAACUGACGUUGAGGCUCGAAAGCGUGGGGAGCAAACAG
Molecule: ribosomal RNA, 400 nt
Filed under: uncultured bacterium
Lineage: Bacteria
Description: bacterial SSU rRNA
Rfam family: Bacterial small subunit ribosomal RNA
Source: RNAcentral